AACAAUAUGGAAGAAAAUUGCAACAUACAAAUGGUAUGGGUAGAAUCAAUAUAAAUUAUAUUUGAGCUAAGAUUUGAAAAAUUAUCUUGUUUGGAUUAAUUGUGUCCCUACCUUUCUCCUUGACUCUGUAUGCAACAUCUUUGUAAUCACUCUGAAUAAUAUCGUCCAUCAGUGAAGCGUCACGUGUGACGCCGAGCUAGUCAAC
This 205-nucleotide long non-coding RNA is filed under the name Hordeum vulgare. RNAcentral describes it as "long non-coding RNA (HVUL_LNC008321)". The record is from RNAcentral. Lineage: Eukaryota; Viridiplantae; Streptophyta; Magnoliopsida; Poales; Poaceae.